GAUCAUGGCUCAGGACGAACGCUGGCGGCGUGCCUAACACAUGCAAGUCGAACGGAAGUUAGAGCUUCGGUUUUAACUUUAGUGGCGAACGGGUGAGUAACGCGUGAGGAACCUGCCUUUCAGUGGGGGGACAACAGUUGGAAACGACUGCUAAUACCGCAUGACACUUUUGGGAGACAUCUCCUGGAAGUCAAAGCUUUAUGUGCUGAAAGAUGGCCUCGCGUCUGAUUAGCUGGUUGGUGAGGUAACGG
Molecule: ribosomal RNA, 251 nt
Filed under: uncultured bacterium
Lineage: Bacteria
Description: partial 16S ribosomal RNA
Rfam family: Bacterial small subunit ribosomal RNA
Source: RNAcentral